RNAcentral lists this transfer RNA (107 nucleotides) under Loxodonta africana (African savanna elephant). It matches the Rfam family "tRNA". From Rfam's summary of the family: Transfer RNA (tRNA) molecules are approximately 80 nucleotides in length. Their secondary structure includes four short double-helical elements and three loops (D, anti-codon, and T loops). Further hydrogen bonds mediate the characteristic L-shaped molecular structure. tRNAs have two regions of fundamental functional importance: the anti-codon, which is responsible for specific mRNA codon recognition, and the 3' end, to which the tRNAs corresponding amino acid is attached (by aminoacyl-tRNA synthetases). tRNAs cope with the degeneracy of the genetic code in two manners: having more than one tRNA (with a specific anti-codon) for a particular amino acid; and 'wobble' base-pairing, i.e. permitting non-standard base-pairing at the 3rd anti-codon position. The record is from Rfam by way of RNAcentral. Lineage: Eukaryota; Metazoa; Chordata; Mammalia; Proboscidea; Elephantidae.
GUCAGGAUGGCCGAGUGGUCUAAGGCGCCAGACUCAAGCUUGACUUCCUCUGCAUGGAGGGUUCUGGUCUCCGAAUGGAGGCGUGGGUUCGAAUCCCACUUCUGACA